AUUGAACGCUGGCGGCAUGCCUUACACAUGCAAGUCGAACGGUAACGCGGGGCAACCUGGCGACGAGUGGCGAACGGGUGAGUAAUGUAUCGGAACGUGCCCAGUAGUGGGGGAUAGCCCGGCGAAAGCCGGAUUAAUACCGCAUGAGACCUAUGGGUGAAAGCGGGGGAUCGCAAGACCUCGCGCUAUUGGAGCGGCCGAUAUCAGAUUAGGUAGUUGGUGGGGUAAAAGCCUACCAAGCCGACGAUCUGUAGCUGGUCUGAGAGGACGACCAGCCAGACUGGGACUGAGACACGGCCCAGACUCCUACGGGAGGCAGCAGUGGGGAAUUUUGGACAAUGGUCGCAAGCCUGAUCCAGCCAUGCCGCGUGCGGGAAGAAGGCCUUCGGGUUGUAAACCGCUUUUGUCAGGGAAGAAAUCUUCUGGGUUAAUACCUCGGGAGGAUGACGGUACCUGAAGAAUAAGCACCGGCUAACUACGUGCCAGCCGCCGCAGUAA
RNAcentral lists this ribosomal RNA (498 nucleotides) under uncultured bacterium. RNAcentral describes it as "partial 16S ribosomal RNA". It matches the Rfam family "Bacterial small subunit ribosomal RNA", at positions 29 to 523 of the family's 1533-position model. The record is from RNAcentral.